ACCCCAAGGUAGCUGAGGAAGAAAGAGGAGUGUGACUCCAACAUGGGCUCAUGAGUGUCAGGGCUCAGGGUUUGGGCUGUAAAGGAGGAAUCAGAAUGAGAACUCAAGUCCCUAACCUGUGUCUCAGAGCCUGUGUGCCAGAAGCAGAGAAGGUGACUGAGAGUCCGGCUCUGAGGACACACCUCUCAACCCCACUUCUCCCAUGCUGAGCUUGCAAUCUGAAACAAACCUCCCUCUCCAGGCCUUAGGUGCUCACCUGUAACACACAGGAAACAAAGACAUAGACAGAAGACAGGGGAUGGAGAUUCCAUGUCAUGUAACACCGGCCAGAACAUGUGGCAGGAUACCGACAUCAUCACAUUUAUCCUCUAGCCAUCCUAGAAGGGAAGAGGCUACUAUUGGAAUUCUACAGAAGACAAAGCUGAGGCAGAAAAACAAAUAACAGCAAUUUAGACAGAACAUGCUCCAGAGCUUGAUAUAUUUGCACCCAAAUUCUUAUUUGCAUCUGAGAGACACGAGCCCUAUGAAUGUUUCCUCGCCCCACUGGUAUAAGAUGUCACU
Peromyscus leucopus (white-footed mouse) is the source of this 561-nucleotide long non-coding RNA. RefSeq lists it as uncharacterized. The record is from RefSeq and is a predicted model, not a curated record. The transcript has 3 exons. NCBI's taxonomy places the organism in Eukaryota, Metazoa, Chordata, Mammalia, Rodentia, Cricetidae.